CUUUUCUUUAAGUGUGCUUAUCUCACGUUUUAAUACUUUUACCUGUUCAGUUAUUUUUUCUACUAAUCUAUUUGUUUGUAUUUCUAACUCUUUAGGCUUUUCUGUAAUAGUCUUGAUUAACUUUUCUAUUUCGUUUUCAGUAGGUAUUUUUUCUAUAUUAAAUUUAUUAUUCAAGAGUUGUAUUUUCCUGUCUCUUUCUAUUUCUUGUGAUUUUAUAGAGUCUAAAUUUUGUUCUAAUUUUUCUAAAAAUCUUCUUUGUUUAAUAUGUCCAGCCUCUGUCAUACCUCCUUACUUGCUAUACACCCCCGCAAAGGGGCGUAAAGGAGUUUUUUUCAAUUAAAGGACAAUCGGAACGAGAUUUGGUUAUUAAAGAUUCAGAGUCGCCACUUGG
RNAcentral lists this long non-coding RNA (391 nucleotides) under Nicotiana benthamiana. RNAcentral's name for it is "long non-coding RNA (NBEN_LNC026998)". Lineage: Eukaryota; Viridiplantae; Streptophyta; Magnoliopsida; Solanales; Solanaceae. The record is from RNAcentral.